RNAcentral lists this ribosomal RNA (2076 nucleotides) under Maribacter dokdonensis. RNAcentral describes it as "23S". It matches the Rfam family "Bacterial large subunit ribosomal RNA", at positions 1 to 2152 of the family's 2925-position model. Lineage: Bacteria; Pseudomonadati; Bacteroidota; Flavobacteriia; Flavobacteriales; Flavobacteriaceae. The record is from RNAcentral.
CAAGCUGGAAAAGGGCGUAUGGGGAAUGCCUAGGCUCUCAGAGGCGAAGAAGGACGUGAUAAGCUGCGAAAAGCUGCGGGGAUCGGCACACACGAUAUGAUCCGUAGAUAUCCGAAUGGGGCAACCCGUUAUAUUGAAGGUAUAACAUCCGCAAGGAGGCAAACCCGGGGAACUGAAACAUCUAAGUACCCGGAGGAGGAGAAAACAAAAGUGAUUCCGAUAGUAGCGGCGAGCGAAAUCGGAUUAGUCCAAACCGUACAUGUUCCGGCAUGUGCGGGGUUGUAGGACCACGACAUUCGAGAUGUGAUGAACUAGAACGCUUUGGAAAUAGCGGCCAUAGAGGGUGAUAGUCCCGUAUAGGCAAAGAGCAUUUAGAUAGUGGUAUCCUGAGUAGUGCGGGGCACGUGAAACCCUGUAUGAAUCCGGCGGGACCAUCCGCCAAGACUAAAUACUCCUGAGAGACCGAUAGUGAACCAGUACCGUGAGGGAAAGGUGAAAAGAACCGUGAAUAACGGAGUGAAAUAGAUCCUGAAACCAUACGCUUACAAGCGGUCGGAGCCCAUAUGGGUGACGGCGUGCCUUUUGCAUAAUGAGCCUACGAGUUACUUUUACUGGCAAGGUUAAGUUCUUCAGGAACGGAGCCGUAGCGAAAGCGAGUCUUAAUAGGGCGCCAUAGUCAGUAGUAGUAGACGCGAAACCGUGCGAUCUACCCAUGGGCAGGUUGAAGCUGUGGUAACACAUAGUGGAGGACCGAACCCGUUGACGUUGAAAAGUCUUGGGAUGACCUGUGGGUAGGGGUGAAAGGCCAAUCAAGCUCGGAAAUAGCUCGUACUCCCCGAAAUGCAUUUAGGUGCAGCGUGUAGAUAGUUUUAUAGAGGUAGAGCUACUGAUUGGAUGCGGGGGCUUCACCGCCUACCAAUUCCUGACAAACUCCGAAUGCUAUAAAAUGUUUCUGCGCAGUGAGGGCAUGGGUGCUAAGGUCCAUGUCCGAGAGGGAAAGAACCCAGAUCACCGGCUAAGGUCCCAAAGUAUAUGCUAAGUUGAUAUAACGCGGUGGAACUGCAUUGACAGCCAGGAUGUUGGCUUGGAAGCAGCCAUUCAUUUAAAGAGUGCGUAACAGCUCACUGGUCGAGCGGUUCCGCAUGGAUAAUAAUCGGGCAUAAGCAUAUCACCGAAGCCGUGACUUUGUAUUUAUACAAGGGGUAGGGGAGCAUUGUAACUGCGUCGAAGGCGUACCUGCGAGGGAUGCUGGAGCGGUUACAAACGAAAAUGUAGGCAUAAGUAACGAUAAUGCGGGCGAGAAACCCGCACGCCGAAAGACCAAGGUUUCCCCAGCUAUGCUAAUCAGCUGGGGGUCAGUCGGGACCUAACGCGAACCCGAAGGGGAUAGUGGAUGGACAACAGAUUAAUAUUUCUGUACCUGCUCACGCUAAAAGUGACGGAGGCGAGAAGUUGGUGCGUACAGACGGAAUUGUACGUUGAAGGGAGUAGUAAUACCCCGAUAGUACACCGAGGCCACGGCCAAGGUGAUAAUCCAGCAUAUCGACUUCCAAGAAAAGCGAGUGAAGCAGCCCGUACCGUAAACCGACACAGGUGGUUGGGAUGAGUAUUCUAAGGCGCUCGAGAGAUUCAUGGCUAAGGAACUAGGCAAAAUAGACCCGUAACUUCGGGAGAAGGGUCGCCCCCUUAUGGGGGGCCGCAGUGAAGAGGUCCAGGCGACUGUUUAUCAAAAACACAGGGCUCUGCAAAAUCGAAAGAUGACGUAUAGGGCCUGACACCUGCCCGGUGCUGGAAGGUUAAGAGGAGAUGUCAUUCCUUCGGGGAGAAGCAUUGAAUUGAAGCCCCAGUAAACGGCGGCCGUAACUAUAACGGUCCUAAGGUAGCGAAAUUCCUUGUCGGGUAAGUUCCGACCUGCACGAAUGGUGCAACGAUCUGGACACUGUCUCGGCCAUGAGCUCGGUGAAAUUGUAGUAUCGGUGAAGAUGCCGGUUACCCGCAGUGGGACGAAAAGACCCCGUGCACCUUUACUAUAGCUUCGUAUUGACCUUGGUCAAGCAAUGUGUAGGAUAGCUGGGA